AAGGGGACCCAAUACAGAGUAAGCUUAACUCUCAUUAAGUAGUUGCAUGCAUUCACUUCAAAACAGCUUAGUAUCUAGAUAUAUCAGCUUAAGUAUACAUCACCAUUAGAGGGGCUUGGUUGUGUCCUCACUGCACGUGACUGGGGGAACUCUGGCAGUCGGCAUGGAGGGACCCUCUCUGGGAACAGCAGAGACCAGCAACACGCGACCGCAUUGCAGGUGGGUAGUUCUCCAAGUGAGUGCCAAGUUUCUCCGUCUUUUAUACCUUUUAGCAAGUUUGUAACUUUUCCAAGAUUU
This 297-nucleotide long non-coding RNA is filed under the name Pelobates cultripes (western spadefoot toad). Lineage: Eukaryota; Metazoa; Chordata; Amphibia; Anura; Pelobatidae. The record is from RNAcentral.